This is a long non-coding RNA of Populus euphratica (Euphrates poplar), 691 nucleotides long. RefSeq lists it as uncharacterized. NCBI's taxonomy places the organism in Eukaryota, Viridiplantae, Streptophyta, Magnoliopsida, Malpighiales, Salicaceae. The transcript has 2 exons. The record is from RefSeq and is a predicted model, not a curated record.
UAGCAUUAAAAUGACAAGGAGACAGGAAAGAAAUCUUUCGUACAUGUUUGCCCCUGCAUAUUAAAGCCACAAGAGGCAGUCAAGCAAGGCUUCCUCUGUAAUUUUAAACGACACACCACAUCAAAUAAAAACCCUAAUUUCGGUGGAAAAAACCCUGUUUUCUUCUGCCUCUCUAAAAUCUAAAACCCUAACAAGUCUCUCUCAAUCUUACGAGUUCACCAAUGGCAGAUUCAUCAGUUUCUAUUGACAAGCUAAAAGCUUUCUGGAACUCUCAAGUUCACGAUGAGGAGAAAUGGGCCCUCAACAUGAAACUGCUGCGAGCUGUUGGGCUGUUUGCUGGAUCUAUUUUUCUGAUGCGGAAUUAUGGUGAUCUUAUGGCAAUAUGAGGAUUGAUGAAGGGCUGCUAUACUGCAGUCUUAUUUCUGGCUACAUUAUUAGUACUGUGAGCUCAUGAGGUUGGAUGGGUCUCUUUGGAUACUGUGAAUGGCAGAUUUUCUUGCAAUACUUUCAGAUUUUCCGUAGUUUAGUGUUCUUGCUUUGGAAUAUGGACCUGUUUGAAAAUAAACAUAUAUGCUAGAUGACUUGUCUUUGUUUGCACAACUUGCCAAUCUCAUUGAUUCCUGGUAGUUUCUGUUGUUAAUUAACUUAAAUGACUUGUUUUGCCAGUACUUGUGUUCUUAAUGCAUACUAA